RNAcentral lists this transfer RNA (71 nucleotides) under Charonia lampas. Its description in RNAcentral is "tRNA-Phe". It matches the Rfam family "tRNA". Rfam says of the family: Transfer RNA (tRNA) molecules are approximately 80 nucleotides in length. The record is from RNAcentral. Lineage: Eukaryota; Metazoa; Mollusca; Gastropoda; Littorinimorpha; Ranellidae.
ACCCCGAUAGCUUAAAUUUAUAGAGCAUAGCACUGAAGAUGCUAAGGUAGCAAGCAUGCUUCAGGGUGAGC